AUCCAUCUGACGAGUCUCAAAUAGGACGAAACACUCGUCAAACUGAAU
RNAcentral lists this non-coding RNA (48 nucleotides) under Schistosoma curassoni. The record is from RNAcentral. Lineage: Eukaryota; Metazoa; Platyhelminthes; Trematoda; Strigeidida; Schistosomatidae.